UGGGGAAUAUUGCACAAUGGGCGCAAGCCUGAUGCAGCCAUGCCGCGUGUAUGAAGAAGGCCUUCGGGUUGUAAAGUACUUUCAGCGAGGAGGAAGGCAUUGUGGUUAAUAACCGCAGUGAUUGACGUUACUCGCAGAAGAAGCACCGGCUAACUCCGUGCCAGCAGCCGCGGUAAUACGGAGGGUGCAAGCGUUAAUCGGAAUUACUGGGCGUAAAGCGCACGCAGGCGGUCUGUCAAGUCGGAUGUGAAAUCCCCGGGCUCAACCUGGGAACUGCAUUCGAAACUGGCAGGCUAGAGUCUUGUAGAGGGGGGUAGAAUUCCAGGUGUAGCGGUGAAAUGCGUAGAGAUCUGGAGGAAUACCGGUGGCGAAGGCGGCCCCCUGGACAAAGACUGACGCUCAGGUGCGAAAGCGUGGGGAGCAAACAGG
This 429-nucleotide ribosomal RNA is filed under the name uncultured Lactobacillus sp. RNAcentral describes it as "bacterial SSU rRNA". It matches the Rfam family "Bacterial small subunit ribosomal RNA", at positions 355 to 776 of the family's 1533-position model. RNAcentral also lists the same sequence under 1 other name. The record is from RNAcentral. Lineage: Bacteria; Bacillati; Bacillota; Bacilli; Lactobacillales; Lactobacillaceae.